This 253-nucleotide ribosomal RNA is filed under the name uncultured bacterium. Its description in RNAcentral is "partial 16S ribosomal RNA". It matches the Rfam family "Bacterial small subunit ribosomal RNA", at positions 524 to 776 of the family's 1533-position model. The record is from RNAcentral.
UACGGAGGAGGCGAGCGUUGUUCGGAAUCACUGGGCUUAAAGCGCGUGUCGGCGGGACUGAAGGUGUCUUGUGAAAGCCCCCGGCUCAACCGGGGAAGUGCUGGGCAAACCACAGUCCUUGAGGCAGGUAGAGGCAAGCGGAACUAUGGGUGGCGCGGUGAAAUGCGUAGAUAUCCAUGGGAACGCCGGUGGCGAAAGCGCCUUUCUGGGCCUGUCCUGACGCUGAGACGCGAAAGCGUAGGGAGCAAACAGG